GAUGAACGCUGACAGCAUGCUUAACACAUGCAAGUCAACUGUGGCGGACGGGUGAGUAACGCGUAAAGAACUUGCCUCACAGUUAGGGACAACAUUUGGAAACGAAUGCUAAUACCUGAUACUGUGAGAGAGCUUUGCGUCCCAUUAGCUAGUUGGAGAGGUAACGGCUCACCAAGGCGAUGCUGGGUAGCCGGCCUGAGAGGGUGAUCGGCCACAAGGGGACUGAGAAACGGCCCUUAUUCCUACGGGAGGAAUCAGCGGGGAAUAUUGGACAAUGGACCAAAGUCUGAUCCAGCAAUUCUGUGUGCACGAUGAAGUUUUCGGAAUGUAAAGUGCUUUCAGUAGGGAAGCGGUACCAACAGAAGAAGUGACGGCUAAAUACGUGCCAGCAGCCGCGGUAAUAC
Molecule: ribosomal RNA, 404 nt
Filed under: uncultured bacterium
Lineage: Bacteria
Description: partial 16S ribosomal RNA
Rfam family: Bacterial small subunit ribosomal RNA
Source: RNAcentral